UGAGGAAUAUUGGUCAAUGGACGAGAGUCUGAACCAGCCAUGCCGCGUGAAGGAUGAAGGCGUUCUGCGUUGUAAACUUCUUUUGCGGGGGAAGAAACCUUGAUAUUCUUAUCAAGCCGACGGUACCCCGAGAAUAAGCACCGGCUAACUCCGUGCCAGCAGCCGCGGUAAUACGGAGGGUGCAAGCGUUAUCCGGAAUCAUUGGGUUUAAAGGGUCAGCAGGCGGGCUAAUAAGUCAGAGGUGAAAUCACACAGCUUAACAGGGGAACUGCCUUUGAAACUGUUAGUCUUGAAUUAAGAGGGCGUUAGCGGAAUAGGUAAUGUAGCGGUGAAAUGCAUAGAUAUGACCUAGAACCCCGAUUGCGAAGGCAGGCUACUACGCCGUGAUUGACACUGAGGCACGAGAGCAUGGGUAGCGAAC
This 421-nucleotide ribosomal RNA is filed under the name uncultured bacterium. Its description in RNAcentral is "bacterial SSU rRNA". It matches the Rfam family "Bacterial small subunit ribosomal RNA", at positions 355 to 773 of the family's 1533-position model. The record is from RNAcentral.